GACGAACGCUGGCGGCGUGCUUAACACAUGCAAGUCGUACGGUAAGGCCCUUUCGGGGGUACACGAGUGGCGAACGGGUGAGUAACACGUGAGUAACCUGCCCACAACUUUGGGAUAACGCUAGGAAACUGGUGCUAAUACUGGAUAUGUGCUCCUGCUGCAUGGUGGGGGUUGGAAAGCUCCGGCGGUUGUGGAUGGACUCGCGGCCUAUCAGCUUGUUGGUGGGGUAGUGGCCUACCAAGGCGGCGACGGGUAGCCGGCCUGAGAGGGUGACCGGCCACAUUGGGACUGAGAUACGGCCCAGACUCCUACGGGAGGCAGCAGGGGGGAAUAUUGCACAAUGGGCGCAAGCCUGAUGAAGCAACGCCGCGGGCGGGAUGACGGCCUUCGGGUUGUAAACCGCUUUCAGCAGGGACGAAGCUUUUUGUGACGGUACCUGCAGAAGAAGCACCGGCUAACUACGUG
RNAcentral lists this ribosomal RNA (465 nucleotides) under uncultured bacterium. Its description in RNAcentral is "partial 16S ribosomal RNA". It matches the Rfam family "Bacterial small subunit ribosomal RNA", at positions 28 to 507 of the family's 1533-position model. The record is from RNAcentral.